CUCAGAACUCAUGGUAGCAAAGAGAACACCAAACAGCCUACUCCUUUGUCUACCAUUUGGAGCCAUAUUAGGAAAACAAGAGGAAGAAUACCUGAGAAGAAAGUGCACUGUGAUUAAUUUUCUGUGAAACAGUCUCAUUCAGCAUGCACAGACUUCAGAAUUUUUCCCAUCCAAUUCUGGGCAGCAUGAGAUUUCUGUGCCUUUCAAGGAGACCUAAAUUUGCAUUAAAAAAAGCCCUGACUAGUUAAUCAGGUCAUCCAGAAAUAACAAUGAAAAGAAGAUGGCAAGAGAGAGAAUUUGAAAGAGAAAAUGGCUUCUUUGAUGUUCCUUAUACAAGAUAUUCCCUCUCCUUACUCCUGGCAUUUUCACUGACCUCCCUCAUCCCUGGAAUACUCUCUCUCCUCAUCUCUGCUUCCUGGCCCCCUUGUUCCUUCAAGUUCCAGCUAAAAGCCCACCCUCUAUGGGAAGCCU
Molecule: long non-coding RNA, 471 nt
Organism: Dromiciops gliroides (monito del monte)
Lineage: Eukaryota; Metazoa; Chordata; Mammalia; Microbiotheria; Microbiotheriidae
Exons: 3
Source: RefSeq, a predicted model, not a curated record